UACGUAGGGUGCAAGCGUUGUCCGGAAUUAUUGGGCGUAAAGAGCUCGUAGGCGGUCUGUCGCGUCGGCUGUGAAAACUCAGGGCUCAACUCCGAGCUUGCAGUCGAUACGGGCAGGCUAGAGUUCGGCAGGGGAGACUGGAAUUCCUGGUGUAGCGGUGAAAAUGCGCAGAUAUCAGGAGGAACACCGGUGGCGAAGGCGGGUCUCUGGGCCGAAUACUCGUGAGGAGCGAAAGCUGGGGGAG
This 244-nucleotide ribosomal RNA is filed under the name uncultured bacterium. Its description in RNAcentral is "partial 16S ribosomal RNA". It matches the Rfam family "Bacterial small subunit ribosomal RNA", at positions 524 to 768 of the family's 1533-position model. The record is from RNAcentral.